CUAGUUUUUGCAAUAUUUAUUAAAUCCUUACUUAUACCUUUCUUCUUGAAAGGUUUUAAAUCAUUUAUAAUAAUAUCUUUGUAACAGCCAUUGUUAGUAUUAUUACAAAUUUUGUAAUUCUUUUGUGCUUCUUCAAUUGCAUUAUAAUACUUAAUAUAUUGCUUAUUUAAAUCUAUUAAAAGAAGAAAUUUCUUUCUUAUAAAUAUUAUCCUUUUUUUCAAUACAAUCUUCCGGAUUAUCAAUAGGACAAUAUUGCUCUUCACAGUAAACUACCCAAAAAAUGGUUAUUAAAAAAAUAUAACUUAAUACUAACGUGUUCAUUAUAAGAAAGCGGCAUGACAAUUUUUGAAUAAAAUAUAAAAAUUGAUGCUUACAAGCA
This 379-nucleotide unclassified non-coding RNA is filed under the name Bombus terrestris (buff-tailed bumblebee). Its description in RNAcentral is "misc RNA ENSBTSG00005019577.1". Lineage: Eukaryota; Metazoa; Arthropoda; Insecta; Hymenoptera; Apidae. The record is from RNAcentral.